GAUGAACGCUGGCGGCGUGCCUAACACAUGCAAGUCGAACGAAGUGUAUAUAGGAAGUCUUCGGAUGGAAUAUGUAUAACUUAGUGGCGGACGGGUGAGUAACGCGUAAGUAAUCAACCUGUGACACACGGAUAACUGAUAGAAAUGUCAGCUAAUACGAGAUGAACUGUUUAAAUUGGGAAAUGGAAACAGCAAAGCGAAAGCGGUCACAGACGAGCUUGCGUCUGAUUAGCUAGUUGGUGGGGUAAGAGCCUACCAAGGCGACGAUCAGUAGCCGGCCUGAGAGGGUGAACGGCCACAUUGGAACUGAGACACGGUCCAAACCUUCUACGGGAGGCAGCAGUGGGGGAUAUUGCACAAUGGGGGGAACCCUGAUGCAGCAACGCCGCGUGAGUGAAGAAGGCCCUAGGGUCGUAAAGCUCUGUCGUAUGGGAAGAAACAAAUGACUGUACCAUACAAGAA
RNAcentral lists this ribosomal RNA (462 nucleotides) under [Eubacterium] yurii. RNAcentral describes it as "bacterial SSU rRNA". It matches the Rfam family "Bacterial small subunit ribosomal RNA", at positions 28 to 489 of the family's 1533-position model. The record is from RNAcentral. Lineage: Bacteria; Bacillati; Bacillota; Clostridia; Peptostreptococcales; Filifactoraceae.